UACAGAGGGUGCGAGCGUUGUCCGGAAUCACUGGGCGUAAAGGGCGCGUAGGCGGCUUGAUAAGGUUGCGGUGAAAGCCCGGGGCUCAACCCCGGGUCGGCCGUGGCAACUGUCGAGCUGGAGCACUGUAGAGGCAGGUGGAAUUCCGGGUGUAGCGGUGGAAUGCGUAGAGAUCCGGAAGAACACCGGUGGCGAAGGCGGCCUGCUGGGCAGUGGCUGACGCUGAGACGCGAAAGCGUGGGGAGCGAACAGG
Molecule: ribosomal RNA, 253 nt
Filed under: uncultured bacterium
Lineage: Bacteria
Description: partial 16S ribosomal RNA
Rfam family: Bacterial small subunit ribosomal RNA
Source: RNAcentral